AUGGGUGCUAAGGAAUUACGGAAAAAAUUGCAUGAAAAACACUCUGUCGCAAUUUCAUAUGACACGGUUUGGAGGGGAAAAGAAAAAGCUCUCGCUGAGGUUUAUGGUAAAUGGGAAGAGAGUUUUGAGAUGCUGUACAGAUGGAAGGCUGAGGUACUCAAGAGGUCACCUGGAAGUUUUGUGGAGAUUGAAGUACUGGAAAUAGAUGGUAAUGUGUACUUUCAUCGGUUUUUUUGUGCACUUAAAUCAUGCAUUGAUGGUUUUCUGGAAGGAUGUAGGCCACAUCUAAGUAUAGAUUCUACUGCAUUGAAUGGAAGGUGGAAUGGCCAUUUAGCCUCGGCUACAGCAGUUGAUGGUCACAAUUGGAUGUAUCCACUUGCUUUUGGGUUCAUAGCAUCUGAGACGGAAAACAAUUGGACUUGGUUUAUGAAUCAGCUUAAGAAGGCAAUAGGAGAUCCUCCACUUCUUGCAGUGUGCACAGAUGCGUGCAAAGGCUUGGAGAAUGCGGUGAAGAAUGUGUUCCCGAAUGCUGAACAAAGGGAAUGUUUUUACCAUCUUAUGAAGAAUUUUGUGAAAAGGUUCCAUGGGUUUGGAAGGAUGUAUCCGGCAGCAAGGGCUUAUAGGGAAGAGGUGUUCACAGAACAUAUGGCAAAAAUUAUUAAAGAAUCAAAUGAAGUAUGGAACUGGCUAAUCAAUACCAUACUCUCAAGUGGAUGA
Molecule: ribosomal RNA, 717 nt
Filed under: Triticum aestivum (bread wheat)
Lineage: Eukaryota; Viridiplantae; Streptophyta; Magnoliopsida; Poales; Poaceae
Description: partial small subunit ribosomal RNA
Source: RNAcentral